This 140-nucleotide microRNA precursor is filed under the name Chlamydomonas reinhardtii. Its description in RNAcentral is "miR1148 stem-loop (cre-MIR1148)". Lineage: Eukaryota; Viridiplantae; Chlorophyta; Chlorophyceae; Chlamydomonadales; Chlamydomonadaceae. The record is from miRBase by way of RNAcentral.
CAGGGACUGUUUACCAACGUGCAGGGGGACAUGGUGGAGAUCCUCCUGUCCGGCUACCUGGAGCGCAAGCUGGGCGAGAGGUUUUAGCCAGACAGGAGGAUCUCCNCUAAGUCCCCCUGCACGUUGGUAAACAGUCCCUG